GGGGCUGUAUUGGUUUUGACAGCGUAAGUAGUGGUAGGUGUAAGCAUGCAGCGCGUUGUGUAAUUAGCGCUUUAAUCUGAAUACUCAAAUCUCAAAUGGCAACACACAGUUUGCUAUGGCUGCCUAAUUAGUUAAUUAGACAUCCGUUUGGGCCGCGUUGAGCAGGUUGUUCUGUUACCAAGCUCCGCCGCCGACUCAACUCAAAACACAGAAUGCUGCAAUGACAGGCUGUGCUCAUUGCAAAAGACUAUUCAGCUACGUAGAAAAUUGGUUGGUUUGUUUCCUGUUUUUUGCCGACAAAUAAUAAUAAACUAAGCAUGUAGAAAGCUUAUGACAGCUACGUUUGGACAGGAGUUCGACUCUCCUCAGCUCCACUG
RNAcentral lists this transfer-messenger RNA (377 nucleotides) under Arachidicoccus soli. RNAcentral describes it as "Standard tmRNA". It matches the Rfam family "transfer-messenger RNA". From Rfam's summary of the family: Bacterial tmRNA, also known as 10Sa RNA or SsrA, is named for its dual tRNA and mRNA-like properties. Its role is to liberate the mRNA from a stalled ribosome. The record is from Rfam by way of RNAcentral. Lineage: Bacteria; Pseudomonadati; Bacteroidota; Chitinophagia; Chitinophagales; Chitinophagaceae.